ANUGCAGUCGACGCUUUGUGGUUCAACUGAUUUGAAGAGCUUGCUCAGAUAUGACGAUGGACAUUGCAAAGAGUGGCGAACGGGUGAGUAACACGUGGGAAACCUACCUCUUAGCAGGGGAUAACAUUUGGAAACAGAUGCUAAUACCGUAUAACAAUAGCAACCGCAUGGUUGCUACUUAAAAGAUGGUUCUGCUAUCACUAAGAGAUGGUCCCGCGGUGCAUUAGUUAGUUGGUGAGGUAAUGGCUCACCAAGACGAUGAUGCAUAGCCGAGUUGAGAGACUGAUCGGCCACAAUGGGACUGAGACACGGCCCAUACUCCUACGGGAGGCAGCAGUAGGGAAUCUUCCACAAUGGGCGAAAGCCUGAUGGAGCAACGCCGCGUGUGUGAUGAAGGGUUUCGGCUCGUAAAACACUGUUGUAAGAGAAGAAUGACAUUGAGAGUAACUGUUCAAUGUGUGACGGUAUCUUACCAGAAAGGAACGGCUAAAUACGUGCCAGCAGCCGCGGU
This 511-nucleotide ribosomal RNA is filed under the name Weissella cibaria. RNAcentral's name for it is "bacterial SSU rRNA". It matches the Rfam family "Bacterial small subunit ribosomal RNA", at positions 55 to 521 of the family's 1533-position model. Lineage: Bacteria; Bacillati; Bacillota; Bacilli; Lactobacillales; Lactobacillaceae. The record is from RNAcentral.